CGCGGCGUGCCCGCGGCGUCGCGCGCUGAUGAGUUUACCACAGCCAGCUGCUCCCGGCUCGGGUCGCUCCGGCUGCGGCGGUGGCUGCCGCGGCUGCUGUGCGGCGUCGGGCGAGCCGGGGGCGCCGAGAUGGAACCGCUGGCGCCCAUGCGGCUGUACACACUCUCCAAGCGCCACUUUGUCCUGGUGUUUGUCGUCUUCUUCAUUUGUUUCGGCCUGACGGUCUUCAUUGGGAUCAGAGGGCCCAAAGUGAUCCAGACUUCUGCAGCUAAUUUUUCACUAAAUAAUACCAGAAAGCUAAAGCCAAUUCACAUACUUUCAAAUCCACUGUCCACGUAUAAUCAGCAACUGUGGCUGACAUGUGUUGUUGAGUUGGAUCAAUCAAAAGAAACAUCUAUUCAGACAAGCUUUCCCUUUCCCAUGACUGUUAAAGUCAAUGGUAUAGCUGAAGAUGGAACCACAAUGUUCAUCCAUAACAAGGUUCACAAUCGGACAAGGACCCUCACUUGUGCAGAGAAAUGUGCAGAGAUUAUCGUGGCCCACCUCGGCUACUUGAAUUACACCCAGUACACAGUGAUUGUGGGAUUCGAACUCUUGAAGUGGCCUGUCAAGGAAAUGAACUUCACAUGGAAGACUUAUAACCCUGCAUUUUCACAAUUGGAAAUCUGGUUCCGAUUUGUCUUUGUGGUGCUUACCUUCAUUGUCACCUGCCUGUUUGCACACUCCCUACGGAAAUUCUCCAUGCGGGACUGGGGGAUCGAGCAGAAGUGGAUGUCCAUUCUUUUGCCUCUGCUGCUGCUUUACAAUGAUCCUUUCUUCCCCCUCUCCUUUCUGGUGAACAGCUGGUUCCCGGGGAUGCUGGACGAUGUCUUCCAGUCCAUGUUUCUCUGUGCCUUGCUUCUCUUCUGGCUGUGUGUGUACCAUGGCAUCCGUGUCCAGGGAGAAAGAAAGUGUUUAACUUUCUAUUUGCCUAAAUUCUUUAUUGUUGGACUGUUGUGGUUGGCGUCUGUCACACUAGGAAUAUGGCAAACAGUUAAUGAAUUACAUGAUCCAACGUACCAAUAUCGAGUUGACACAGGAAAUUUUCAGGGAAUGAAGACUUUUUUCAUGGUGGUGGCAGCUGUGUAUAUCUUAUACCUUCUGUUCUUGAUAGUGCGGGCUUGCUCCGAGCUGCGUCACAUGCCUUACGUAGAUCUCAGGUUAAAAUUUUUGACCGCGUUGACCUUUGUGGUGCUUGUCAUUAGCAUCGUCAUCCUUUAUUUAAGGUUUGGAGCACAGGUAUUACAAGACAAUUUUGUAGCUGAACUGUCAACCCACUACCAGAAUUCAGCAGAAUUCUUAUCUUUCUACGCCUUGUUGAACUUUAUCUCUACACCUUGGCAUUGUGUAUUCCCCAUCGAAGAAUGCUCUGCUACGGUAAGCCACCCUGGGGUCUGGAUUGCUUCUAGAGAGCCUUAAACAAACAGGACCCACUUGCUAGGUUUGUCAUUGUUGUGGGGCACCACAAUUCACCUGCUCUUCUCUUCAGCAGAGAUAAGGUAAUUUAAAUGUCAGACUCUGAGUUUUAGUUAGAACCCAGCAAUUGUUGAACCUGAGUCGUGUUGUUCCAGCACAAGAUGUCAAGUGUACGUCCAUCAGUCCUCUUGCCACAGGGAAAUAAGUCUGUUGAGUACUAGGACAUGCCAUUCAAAAUAAGGCCAGAACAAAGCCAAACAAGCAAACAAAACCUGCCUCUUGCAUAGGGAAUUAAAGGAUGAGGACUUCCUGGAACAGAGGCAAGAGAUAUUUUGUAGUAUUUCAGUACCUGACACUUUAUAUCGGUGUGAGUUUUCAAAACACUUUUGUGUACAUUGUCUCAUUUGAUCUUAACAACAACUUUAUGAUAAAGGUAUAAUUAACUCCACUUUACAGAGGGAGAGACUUAGACGUGAAUUCCUGCAGGUCCAACGUCUGGCAGGGGAGCAGGGCAGACAGAGCCGGGCUUCUGAGGCCUCUUUUCCCUGUCUGCACUUGGAGAAAGGAACGGGCAUCUUGGGGCCUGCCUCCGGCGAGGGAGGCAGCCUCACCUGGGUGGGCUCCAGCUUAUGCCUGGACUUUGAGGCAGGAUGAUUUCAUCUACUCCACAACCCUGCGAGGUAGACAGUGUUACCUCUGCCUUGUGGUUGAGGAAAUGGACUCACAACAUGAAAUGGUUGGUUCAGGUUCACCUGGAUAAUAAAUGGUGGAAGCUGGGAUGUGAAGUCAGCCCUUCUGACUCUGAUCCUUUUUCCAGGACAGGGUCUUGCCUCCUCAGGCUAAUAGCAUGAAUUGCUCGAAAUAAAAAUGCUUUUGUUGGUUUCAGAGUCCCAGUUGAAAGACAAUCCUGCAUUUUCCAUGCUGAACGACUCUGACGAUGAUGUCAUCUAUGGGAGUGACUAUGAAGAAAUGCCUCUGCAGAACGGCCAGGCCAUUCGGGCCAAGUACAAGGAAGAGUCGGAGAGUGACUGAGCCCUUGGCAAAGGGCGGCACGACUUCAAGGAACCUGGACGUUUUUCUGCAGUGACCACUCCCUGGCCUCCCCCAUACCUGCUUAUAUUCAGACAUUUUCUUAUAAGCAAAGAUUUCCUGUUCCUUAUUUGUUUACAUAUUUUUUAAAAUGAAAACCAAAACUGAGGGUGGAUUUAAACGUUGGACCAAAUUUAUUGCCAGGGUGGCUUCGUUUAUUUGGGAAGAGAGGUGCUGAUGAAAAAGUUUCAAUAGCCAGAUCUUUUUUCUACAAGAUUUCAGAUGAAAAAUAGCAUGUUUUCAGUGGCGAGAGGGACAAUUACCCCAGUUUUUAGUAGAAAAGAAUUGCAUACCUUGUUUUUUUCCUAAUUCACUAAUUCCAAGUUCACAUGAAUCACUUAUGAGUAAGGUGCAUAGCAGAAUUGCUGUUCCUGUUCUUUCUCCCUGCCCUCCCUUCCCACACUACUGUUUUGACCCAUUAAACUUAAAGGGAACCUGUCUGUCCUGUGGCUGCCUCCCGAGGGCAGCCCAUCACCGUUGAGUGGUAAAGGCUCUGGCUAACCAGGUAUCUUGAAUGAUUGCUUAUUAAAUUGUGUUCCGUGAAAAAUACAUGAGUUACAGCCCAUGAGAGGAUUGGUUCAGUGGGGAGAUUCUAGCCUGUCAACCUAUCACCAAAGCAGAAGCAGUGGUGUGGUAGACUUCUGAUGAGGGUUUCAUAAGGAAAGGCUAAGAUCAUUUAUAGGUUGCCAGCUCCAGUGGGAAAGGUAUUGUUCCCAUGCAGUUUCUCAAGAGCAUGUGUGCUUGUAUGUGUCUGUGUGUGGUUGGGGAGGGGAAGAGGGUAAUUGUUACAAUUCCAAUCAGUAGUUAUUUCUGCAAUUCUGUUAAAAUAUGACAUUCCUUACAGCUUUUUUUUUUAACUAAACAAAUGAUUGAUAUAAUAUAGAUUCUUCUUGCCAAAAAGUUUUUCAAUUUCAAUUUGGAAACUAGAUGAAAAGAAAGCAAAACAUAAUAAACAGCUCAUGGAAAAACAUCACUGGGUGAAGGUAAAUGGUUUGGAAAUCUUUCCCUAUCCUCUGUGUUUCACAUGGUGGUCAGAGAAACAGAGGGAUUGCUCUGGAAAAGAGAAGGCAUCUGGUGUGGCAGGAUCUUUAACAAACUCAGAGGCCCAGCAGAGUUGCCUAUUUCUUUUUGCCAAAGACUAAAUGUAGAAGCCUGGUAUAAAUACUUCCUUCACUUUUCCUUUGACAUACACACUAAUGUCUCUAACUAUUAACAUAUUAUAAAUUGUAAACAUCCUUUUUGAUGCCAUCUUGGCAAAUACACAAGUACAGAAUAUGAUUUCCCACUCGGCAAACAGUAGCUAUGUUUUCUUCAUCUAUGCAUUAACUCUCAAAUUACUAUUCACAGCUAAAAAUUAUGUUCCCCUUUAGUUCUGCUGGGACCCUUAGAGAUGUGCUUGUGAGGCUGUUCAUGUGGACACCUUAGUAUCUUUUUUAAUUUAAACUUAAGUGAUAAUGUCACUUACGGACUCCAUUUACAUUGGUUUAAAAAAAACCUUGUAAAUAUGAAUUUUGAAGUAAACAACUGUAUUAUUGCAAGGGUAAUUCAAGUUUACAUAGCUUUUACAUUUGCAAUGGUGUCAUUACUUGAUUCAGUAUAUUGGAAAAAUAUUGUUACCAAAUUUUAUAACUUCUAAUAAGACUAUAAAUAAUUUAAUGUAAACUAACGAAACUUGUUCUGAUCUGUGAUAGAGUUUACAAAUUUUAGUCAUUUAUGUCCUUUAUGAUUUGGAAUGCUAUUAUUUAUCAGUAAAUAUAAAAUAUUUGAGGCAUUUAACUGUAUACAUUAGAAGUUUUAAAAAAUUGUCUUUGUCUUCAAAUGUAAUUAUGAACUAAUGACUUACAUCUUCAUACUGUAAUUCUUCAUGGCAUCAAGUCAAUGAAAUUAAAAAUAUGAGGGUAUUUAAUUUUUAUGUAACUAAGUUAGAAACAAGAAAAAAACUGCAACAGAAAGUAUUUACAGGGGAAGUGGUUCUUUAUUAAAUCAUGCCAUUUUCAGUUUCUUUCCAUGGUGUAGCAUAUACAUAUAAGUGUAUUACAUGCUUCUUGUAAAAUGUGCUUAAGUAUAUAGAACUUAGCAUGUAGAUGUGCCAUAAGUAAUUAAGUUAAAACAUAAUUUGCAAGAAACCUGACAGCAAGAAAAAAUAUUUUUUUGGAAUAUAUCAAAGUUUUGCAAACUUAAAUUGCCAGGUAAAAAGGCUGACCUGAGUUCUUCAUGGUAAUGGCUUAAAUAAUAUCAUUUUUGGAUAAUUUUUUUUUAUACUGGUCUAGUCUAGGGGAAGCCUGGAAGAUGGUCAUAGGUAUUUAAUGGUUUCCCUAGGGACAGCUUCACUGUCCAUGUGGAUAUAGGUCUGCUUGAUUUAUUAAUCUUUACAGCAGUAAGUGAUGUGGUUUUAUCUCUUUUAAGCCCAUUUUGAAAGGCUAGAGAAGGGGAUAUAUAAGAUAUUCAAGGUUUGUUAGGUUCUUACUGUACAUAGUCACAUAAAAGAAGUCUAGAUACAUUAUGUAAAUCCAAUCCGCUAAAUGGACAGGAUUUAAGACAAAUGUCACCAGCUCAACUAUUUCAUGACUGAAGGUUCCAUUAUGCUAAUAGGUUAUCAUAUGGUCAGUAACUUAUUCCUGAAUCCUCUUUACAGAAAAAAACAAGCUUAUAGAGGAAGGGAUGAUUAAAAGGGACAUCUCUGUCAGCAUCUAGUUAAAACUAGACUUAAAAACACUAAAGUAUAUUUGUGUACAUUGAGGGUUCUAGAAACAGUUGCCUUAGAGGUUAGACUUUGGGAAAAAAAAAGAUGCAAAUCUUUUUCCCUGGGCCAAAGGGAAGUUGCUUUAGUCUGUGAUAUCUCAGACUAUUUAUCUUGAUUUGACAUGCUUUAGAUAUACUGGUAACUAUAGCAUACUAUGAAACAUAGAAGGAUGUUCUGCUACUGAAAACUGCCUUUUUACAAAAAGACUGUAAAUAUUUGUAAAAUAAAGCACCGAACUUUUAACUAAGAGAAUUAUGUAUUAUAUAUUAUGGAACUGUGCCAAUGGCACACAGGUAUCACCUCAUCACAGAAUGACCAUUAUAAUCAGCCAGGUAAAAGUGAAUCAAUGUUUGUUUGGGAAUGGCUUUAUUCUAACACUACCUUUCUGGUAAAUGUUAAUAAAUUGUUAAUAUUCUGUCCUAAUA
RNA transcript from Choloepus didactylus (southern two-toed sloth), 5712 nucleotides. It is a transcript of the gene named transmembrane protein 181, with no coding region annotated. The record is from RefSeq and is a predicted model, not a curated record. Lineage: Eukaryota; Metazoa; Chordata; Mammalia; Pilosa; Megalonychidae. The transcript has 16 exons.